CUUCCUGGUGGGAGCUUGAGGGCCAGAUUAAUACAUCUGGAAGGUGGAUGCAGCCCCUGAGCUGUAGUUUGCCCACCCCUUUCUUGAGGGCAGCAGUUGUCCUUUAUGGUGGUUACAUAGCGCCUAGCACAAUAGCAUUAUGACCUGGCUAAAGCUGCUAGGUGCUGUUACAAUAUAAAUGAUAACUCUAAACUAGAUGCUAAUAAAAA
Long non-coding RNA from Dermochelys coriacea (leatherback sea turtle), 209 nucleotides. RefSeq lists it as uncharacterized. The transcript has 2 exons. NCBI's taxonomy places the organism in Eukaryota, Metazoa, Chordata, Testudines, Dermochelyidae. The record is from RefSeq and is a predicted model, not a curated record.